GGGGAAAUCACGUCUAUGACCCACUAUUGACUCACUUCCAAAAAAAUGCCACAGCCUAUAGUUUGCUUAAAAACAAGUAUUGAUCUACAAGAGUUGCCCGGUGAUUCAAAAAAAAAUUGAAAACACUAGACGCAUUAAUAACAAUUCCGGAAGGGAUUAUGUUUUCUUUUGGUAUAUCUUCUAUGACUUGAUAUGACUAUCAACAAUCGCAGUUAUGAAUUGUAAAGUGAUAUACAUGUACAUAAUUUACUUUAGUGAAUAUUUUGACAUAAGGCGUAACAAAAACGGAUUUCUAAAAUCCAUUCAUCCUCUUCAGAGUCAGACACAGGUGCUGGUGUAUAAUAUUUAUAAAGCAUUUCCAAGUGCUUUGACCAUCAGUUACCUCUUUAAUUAUACUUGCUACUUCCCCCACAGCAACGCGGAUCUGAACUUUGCUGUCCCUCUUCCUUACUGUAACGGAGGAAGUCGAAUCCACUGUAAUUGCAAGGGGUACCCCAAGUUCAUCCGUUCUGGCAUAUCGUUUUCCAAUUGAUGUACCUGUCAUAUCAAUUUUAUAUGAAAUUCCAGAAGCAGCCAAUGAGUUGGCAACGUGUUUGGCAACUUCCUCGUAUUCUUGGUGCUGGAACACUGGGAAUACAGUGCAUUUGAUAGGAGCCACCAGCGGAGGGAAACGGAAAACGUUCAACUGCUCAUCCCCAGCUUUACUAAGCCUCGCGUGAAAACAAUGCUCAUACAGACAGUAAAUUAUUCGCCCAAUGCCAAAAGAUGGCUCAAUCACUGAUGGUGUAAAGACCCUUUGAUGUUCUUUCUCUCUCCUUGAAGAUAACCAAACACCUAUUCUUCUUUAUUAUCACAUCCUUAUCAAGUCUGCAGACUCGGUACCAUACCUCUCCCUGGGACUCCAAAACAGCUUUCAUUUCCAUGGCUUCUCUUUCAUCCAUAGCCUAUUCAGCCAUUAAUAUUCUAGAGGCAAAACAAAGGCUUGUCAUCUUCCCUUCAAAGAUGCUCAGCCCAUUUAAUAAAUGGUUAUCCUCCUGCCAGUGGAUGAAAAUAGAGUGUGGGAUGGCACUCUACUCUCUAAUGCUUCGAUCACCACCUUCUGGUUACCCCUGAAUGCAAGGCCUAGCUCCUUUUUCAUUGGAGUGAUAACAAGAUCCUCAACUUCUCUGGGUUCUGCAAAAUUUCAUGUGCCACAAGGGAAACUCCACUUUUGUCCUGAUAUGGAGUAUAUAUAUAUAUAUGAAGUAAUUUAUCCUUAAAUCCAACUGCUUUAGUUUGCCAUACCACAUCUAUUACAAACAUAUAGAAUGAAGAAAGGGAGAGAGUACUAUGAUUAAGUAAACAUUAGCUUUGAACGCUUGCUAGCUCUAAUAUUGGACACUCACCAUGUGAACACUUACCAUGUGAGCCCGCAGAUCAUAUGCAGAUCUAUCUGCAAUACCAACACAUUCAAUCUGGCCAUAGAAGCAUUCAAUCUCAGCAUCCCAACAAUCAGCUGCAUAGUGGGCCAUCUCAUUUGCGAGGUGUUGUCUGAAAUUCAGCUGUUCCUUAUCAAUACCAAGACAUAUUAAGAAUAGAUACACUCUCCCGAUGAAAUAGCCAAGCGUUUCAUUAUUGACGAUACCCAUUGAAAAUGCUUCUCCAAGGGGUAUCCUUCUUGCUGAUUGUCCAGAAACCUGUGCUUCCCCAGGGAACAUAAGAAACUCCAAAUUUGCAACUUUAGAAAAUUUUGGGUGUGACUUGUCAUCAGGAUCUACAAAGUGCUCAAUCUCAGCAAGUGUAAAUUCACGAACUCUUAGGAGGCCUUGUCUUGGAGAUAUCUGUUUUUGUUGUUAAUCAAAAUGUCAGAUUUCAACUAUUAUUGCAAUCUCUCCAGGCACAGCAUGCUAUGAUAGAAUGAAAAAUUGCAUUAUGAAAUUGGAGGAGAAAAUAAGGGAACAACAGAUACAAAUAGCUACUACUUUUAUGAUCACCUUUCCACUGCCAAUUUAAAUUCCACUGUAUCUAUCAUUGGUACUAGGUGAAAAACCUCUAGUUAAAGUAGCCUAUUUGUAGCAAAUCUAGAGUUCAAACUUUUGAAAGCAGUGACAAGUUAAAGGAUAUUAUUGUGGGCCAUGAGGCUACUAGUCUGGAGGAUGUAGUGAAGGAUAAAGUGAGGUCCAAAUUAUACCAUAACACAAGAAACUUCAAAUCUCAAAUAUUCAACCUAUGGCUGAUACCAAGGAAUCGCUACAGGUGCUUAUUGGCACCAUGAACAGCAAGUUCAUCAACAAGAUCUCUUCCAACAACAAAGGCAAUUCCAUUGUGACCAUGAAACAAAUCAAAAUAUACACACCCACAUGGCAAUGCAAUAGUAAAUGAAGGAUUUGGCACCUCAUUUCUAAAAGCCUGACCAAUUUGAUCUGCAAGCAAAAGGACGCUUACUGCCAUUAUGGUAGUAAAAGUCCUUAAAGUUGACAAAAAUGCCUUGUGCUGUUUCAGGGCGCAUGUAUCUGACGCCAAAAUGCAAGGACGUUAGACUUAACGGCGCAGCCCGGUGGACCAUAAUAAAAAAGCCCAGCAACGCCGCCAUAUAUCUUAAAAGAAGGGGUGUAGAAGAGACGCCUUUCGAGAGUAUUAAUAACUGCCUGACGGAAAGCAUCCUUGCUAGCAAAGGCGUUGCCAUUUUCGUUGCUGCUGUUGCUGAGAAUAGCGAUUUGGAGCCGCCGCUCGAUGGAGGCCUUCUCAGAUUUCAACACCUUUAAGGCUUCCAUGGUGGCGUCGAUGAGCUCCUUGGAUGCGCCCGGCUAUUUCAGCUCGGUGACGGCGUGGGCUUGCGCGGCUAUCGCCGUUUGCUUCUCCGCGAGCUCUGUGAGGAGAGCGUCUUCGUUGGUCUCCAUUUCGAGAUGAUAUAUAUAGUAUUGAAGCUUCUGUGAAUUGUGUUUGACAUAGAAAAAUAGGAAUCGAUAAUUUGAAAGGAUAAGAAGAAUAUAAGAGAAAGAGGUAUCGAAUUGCAGCGAUGGUCCUGUCAGGUUGACCGGGAUAUUUUCCUCGCCGGGAA
This 3040-nucleotide unclassified non-coding RNA is filed under the name Hevea brasiliensis (rubber tree). Lineage: Eukaryota; Viridiplantae; Streptophyta; Magnoliopsida; Malpighiales; Euphorbiaceae. The record is from RNAcentral.